GACGGAGGGGGCAAGCGUUGUCCGGACUCACUGGGCGUAAAGGGUGCGUAGGCGGUUGCAUGCGUCGGCGCUGAAAUCCGUGGGCUUAACCCACGGGCGCGUGCCGAUACGAUGCGACUUGAGGCUCGGAGAGGGUGGGAGAACUCCUGGAGUAGUGGUGGAAUGCGUAGAGAUCAGGAAGAAUACCUGUGGCGCAAGCGCCCACCUGGCCGAGACCUGACGCUGAGGCACGAAAGCGUGGGGAGCGAACCGG
Molecule: ribosomal RNA, 253 nt
Filed under: uncultured bacterium
Lineage: Bacteria
Description: partial 16S ribosomal RNA
Rfam family: Bacterial small subunit ribosomal RNA
Source: RNAcentral